CAAUUUAUAAAAGUUAGUAGGCUAUCAAGUAGUAAUUUUCAACAACCUAAUACAUGCCUCAAAAUAUAACGACCACUUGGCUAAAAUAGAUUCAGAUUGUCAAUAUGGGAAUAAGAGAUCUCACCAUAAAAGCUUAGCAUGGAAAGUGGUGAGAGUUUGUACCUGAGAUACAAAGUUGUGAAUCAAUAUCAAUAUCAAUAUCAAAUCUCAUAUAGAAUUAAGGCUAAACAGCAAUUUUUAACCAAAACCUUUGAACUCAUUCAACACACAACAAUAGCAUCCUUAACAGCAAAGUGGAGCAGAAGAAAGCAUAGAAGACAAAAUCUCACUGAAGAGCAGAGAAAACCAGUGUAUAAUCAGUCACCUCAUCAAAUAGUGACUUCAAAUAUUGUUCAAGUAGUUCUUUAACAAUAGACAAGGCCAUUUUCUGAUAUGAAACAGUAACAGAACCAAAGGCAACUGGAAUUGGAAGAAAAUUUUAAGCGACAGGGAGAAGUGAAUAACUUUGCAUGAGACAUACACACUUUGGUGAGAGAUGUAAAGACAAAAAUGGAUUGUAGAUCACGAGUUUAGCAUGAUACCCUACAGAUUUAGCACCUAAAUUUUGCAAAUUAACAUUUAUGCCACUGCCAAUGACACGUUGAAGAACAAAUAAUUCUUUUCCUCCUUCCAAUCAUGAGUUAUAAUAUCAAAUAAAUAUUUAGAUGGAUCUAGUUAGCAACAAAAAUAGAGAAACAUGCAUGCCAUUCCAAUCAAAGGGUGAUAAAGAAAACACUUGAUCAACAUACAUCAUUAAAUCUGCUUAAAGCAGUUGUUGAAACAACAAGAGCACUGUUUUCAAAAAUCUUCCUCCAGAAAAUUAGUACACAUGAUAUAACCCACUCAGAAUGAAUAACAUCAGACAAGUAGUUUCUUUUGUGAUAAGAAAUAAUAAAGCAAAUAUUAUUGAUACAGGAAUAGCUUUCCUGAUGGAAGGCUAUGGAACAGUUAGCAGAAACAAAGCACAAGGUCAGCCAAAUUGCAUCUAAAGGCAUUGCAAUUAUGUCAAAGAUUUUAAAUUGCAACAUCUUCUAGACCAUAGAAAAUUUGUGAAAAUUUACUCUCUGUCAAGCAAUGAAACAAAUAAUAGAAAUAGAUUUAUCCCAUUUUAUGAUUUUAAAAUUGAAUGUGAAAAGGAACAAUUUUGGCAGGGAAAGGCACUUCCACUUGUCCUAUAUCCUAUCAUGUAGGCCCCAUUUCGUUCCUGCAUGACACAAUGAGGGAAUAUUGUAGGCCCCUUAAUUCAACUUUUGUGAAAUUCAUAUGGUAAAGCGGGCCACUGCAACAUGGCAAUACCCAGAACUAUUUAAACUGUCAAGCGGGUCCCAUAUGCUAAUUUGAAAACACCAUUUUCCAUGUGGAGCUGGAUGUAUUUACCAGAUAUGAGAGCAUUACAAACAUUGCCAAUAAUGAAACUUCAUUUUGAGAAUUAUCUUUAGAUACAAUGACCUCCCAAACAAUUCAGAAUAUGGUGCAACUAGAUAUUCAUAUAAAAGAGAUAUGACUCAAAAAGCAACUAGUUAACGUGCUAUGUUUGGACUGCUAACCUUUGUAAAUGAAUUGAUUCCCUGCCAAUUAAGGAAGAGAUUCAGGUUAGCCCAUGGAAGGAGGGAAGAAAAAGGAAAAUCCCUUGUGGCAUAAUUAAGCCACUAGAUGCUGUAAUCCUGUAUUGCUAUUUCUUAUCAAGAAGGAUUAUAUAACAUUUUCUUAACAAGAGCCUUUAUUAAUCACAUCAGCAAGAAGCUAACCUUCAAAUGUGAUGAUGGAUAUCAAAUUACACUCAAAUGAUUACGUGCUGAACAAAUCGGUGCCCUAACAAAAAAAGAAACUGAAAAAAUUAAAAUAUAUAUAUAUUGCAAAUGUAAAAUGAUGAUGCGUGGAGCAGAAACAACACUAAUGUUUAAGGAAAAAAUGGCUUGUAAUAUCCUCAAGUAAUUUAAUGAUAAUGUAUUCGUAGUUUAUUGUUAUGUGGACUACAAUAAAUUCUAAUAAUUAAGACGAGAGGCAAAAUUUUUUUAAGUUUCAGGAAUUAACAAUCACAAAGAGAUAUCAAAAUUUAGGAGUUACAAAAAGUAAUCAAUUGCUUCUGCCAAAACUGUGAUAGUGCGUCCGUGAUAGUCCAUGUUGGUGCAGGUUUGUGUCAAUUAAUACAAAUAUUUGUUCAUAUAGGAAGACCAAUAAUGACAAUCAAAACAAUAUCCCAGUGAAAGAAUCUCAGAAAAACCAAAGGAAUUGCCAAUGAUCAUGAUGAAACCAAAAGAGUGUAUCCAGUUGCCUCUAAUUCAAGAAGACAUGUAGUAGAAAUGGCAAUAAAUCCAUUAUGUAAAAAUUUUUUGAUAAGAAAUAUCAACAAAUUGAGAGGUCUGAUCCAGAUUUUUGUAAUAGGUAGACAAGGUAAAUCUAAAUAUGAACUGGACAUUGCCAAGCAUUUCCAGAUGUUCCCUGUUUAUCAAAACCAUGUUUACCAACCACUUGGCAUAAAUAAGCUCCAUCAACAUGAGCUCCAUAACUGGCAACUUGCCAGAAUCUAGGACCAGGGAUGCAGUCAUGUUUACGUGUGUUAAAUUUACAAACCAGACAUGCAUCAAUGCUGCAAUUCAUUUAAGCAGGUGAAUAAAUGUUAAAGGGUAAUGGACAUGAAAUUGAGUUCAACAACAAAAAGAAAGCAUGAUUGUUCUUCUCUGUAAUUAAUAAUCACUAAAUUAAGAAUUUAAGAUAUCAUAUCCUGACAAGCUUUUACAUUUUAUGAUGUGAGCACAUGAAGCCACUAGCCAUUUGAAAGUACCCAACUCUACUCGAUCACCAAGGAAGCUGAAAAUAUAGAAUUGAGUGGAAAUAUAUAUAGGCGCUAAAAGAACUCUAGAACUGAUAUGUCUACACAACAAAACUGCCAUUUGCUGAAUUGUAUGCAUUUGACAGUGAUAAUCAAUAAACUACUCCUAUUUAAUCCACAAUGAUUCAUUUCCAAAACGGUUCACUUUCAGAAGCCACUGAAUUCCAAUGACUAGUCAUCAGCGAUGCCCAAUAUGAAAGUACGUUUCCACUAAAAACAAAUCUUACUAUUUGUGGGUAAUGUAUGCCCCCAAUAUUCAUCAAAUGAGCCAGUGCGUGAUCAACGAGUGUUAAACUCAGAAACGAAACAAAGUAAUUGCAAGCAAAUAUCAUAUUGCAACUAAUGAAAGAACACAUCUAUAGCUACGCUUAAAUCAUCCACUCUUUUGGGAUCAAUAUGAAAACUUGAAUUUAUAUUGUAAAAAAUCCUCAAAAGGGUUUUUCCCAAUGAGCAUUGUACAAACUUUUGGAACCAAACACCAAUAAAUGUAGAGCCUACACACAAUCUCCGUCUUCCUAUAUAAUUUUUGUGAGUUUUAUCAGGAACCCAAAACUUAGCAUAAUAUAACCAGUAAAGUUAAUUUCUGGAAACCCAGGUAAUGAUUUUUAGAGAAGAACACAAAUCAAAAAGAGAAGGAAAGUGGAGGAAGUAGAACCUCUAUGAACUGGUGAGAGAAACAAGAAGCUGUUUGCGAUUGAGCAACGCCAUUUCGGUGUCUAUCACAGCCAUGGAAACCAUAGCAAUAGACUGAAACGUGAGCAUAUGUAGACUAGCUCCUAAGCUGGACCGAAACAGCAAGGUGAGAGAAUCUUGAGUCCUGCCUUUUGGGUUUUAC
Molecule: unclassified non-coding RNA, 3707 nt
Filed under: Hevea brasiliensis (rubber tree)
Lineage: Eukaryota; Viridiplantae; Streptophyta; Magnoliopsida; Malpighiales; Euphorbiaceae
Source: RNAcentral